This 75-nucleotide transfer RNA is filed under the name Chloroflexota bacterium. RNAcentral's name for it is "Chloroflexi bacterium tRNA-His". It matches the Rfam family "tRNA". Rfam says of the family: Transfer RNA (tRNA) molecules are approximately 80 nucleotides in length. The record is from RNAcentral. Lineage: Bacteria; Bacillati; Chloroflexota. RNAcentral also lists the same sequence under 1 other name.
GUGGUCGUGGCUCAACGGUUACAGCGCUCGGUUGUGGCCCGAGCGAUGUCGGUUCGACUCCGACCGAUCACCCCA